AUGACUCAUCUGUGGGAUGACUAUCCCUUGGAUCCCUGGUAUGAGGACACCAAGUGGUGUUGGUGUCUCCUUUCUACGAAAUUAUAUGAAAGAGAACUUCUUCUUUGCUCCUCUGAUUGGCUUAUGAAGUCACCUUUCAACCCAUUUGGGGUUUGUCUUCAUAUAUGGGUUACACCAUGAAUUUCAGAGGAAAGAGAGGAGGAAGGAGGCCACCAAUGGAUGAGGAAGGGGACCAGAACCCAGUUCAAGGACACAUGGAUGCCAGGACCCCAGUUCAGACAGAUGUAAGAUAUGGACAGGUAAGAGGAAUAGAAUAAAGGUCUCCUCUCUCUAAGUUGGAACUCUGCU
Molecule: long non-coding RNA, 348 nt
Filed under: Monodelphis domestica (gray short-tailed opossum)
Lineage: Eukaryota; Metazoa; Chordata; Mammalia; Didelphimorphia; Didelphidae
Description: lncRNA (ENSMODG00000045041.1)
Source: RNAcentral